Gadus morhua (Atlantic cod) is the source of this 2698-nucleotide long non-coding RNA. RefSeq lists it as uncharacterized. NCBI's taxonomy places the organism in Eukaryota, Metazoa, Chordata, Actinopteri, Gadiformes, Gadidae. The transcript has 3 exons. The record is from RefSeq and is a predicted model, not a curated record.
AGCCCUCCUCGACGGAUAAAAUAAGACUAUGCCGAAGGGAUCAUCUCCCUUUUCCCAUACCUGGCAGAUCCCAUGAGCAAACUGGGUUAUGUAUGUGGCCGUUAUCUCAAGUGUCUUGAUUCAGACGAGUGUUGCAUGUUCCAUGAGUGUUGGAUGCAUAACAUUAGUCCAGCAAUAUAUAACUUAUCUGUGUCUGUGAUAUGUCCAUAGGAGCAUUAUUACAAUGCAGAAGAUGGAAGUGGAUACCUGGCCUGGAGAAUAAAAACACUUCAGAAGGAAGCAUCGGAGGGACGACCUAAGCGCUCAAGGCAAUCACAAACAGGUGGACCAAGAUAUGAUGAUAUGCUAGCCAUUAUCCCACGGUUCAUGGACAUACCAGGCCUGAUCGAUCAAGAUUUUAGACUUCUUUUUGGAGAUUCAACCUCUGCAAAGCUAUUGGAGAAGUGGUCUACCAACAUAAAACCAAAGGUCAUCGCACAGAGCCGUGACCUCACACAGACUGAGGAGGUAAAAUAUCUCACCCAGAAUGCCGUUGCCACUGAAGUUGAAGGAGGUAACUAUAUUGGCCCAUAGUUAUUUCAAUGGAAUUGAUUAAUUACUGAGAAAUUAAGGGUACUGCAGAUGUUUAAUGCAUUAUACUGGUUAUUCAUCCGUAAUUGGUAGGUUAAAGUAAAUAGGAGGAGGUCUUCAAACUUAUCAAACUGAAACCUAAAAAUGCCUAUUUUAUUUUGUUGUCUGUGUCGCCAGGUUGGGACAGUGACAUGUCUUCCCUUCUCCUGCUGGUUCACUGAUGCUGGUUUUGCCGCCCUCCAGUCAAGGCCGCAAGCGACCGGGAAAGAUUUCAGCCAGACAAGCAUGUGACUGUCUUGUGAAAUUCAUCAAGGGGAACCAUUAAAGCAGAUUAAACACGUCCUUAGAAGUAAAGAUACUUGUGUUUGUUGUUCUCAUCAUGCCUGAGUCCCAUAUGUAUUUGAAUCAAGGUUGUAAUGUGAUAAACCUGUCCAUAUCCAGGCUGCUAACUACGUUAGGUUACGUUGCUGUUAGACGAUUUACGUUUCUCUUUGUCUCUCUCAGACUGGUACCAGCAUUCAGGGACACCUGGAUUUCAUUGUACGAAGUCUCGAACCAUAUCUGCUAGCAGUUGGGCCAAAGAAAAGUAGGAUCCAGUCUUACUUCAUAGUCAUUGACCAACACGCUUUGCCCUGUAAAGCCUCAAAUUCGCUGGCUGCUGUUGAUGAGCUUUUAACGCUCACUACGUUUUUGGCACUACAUACUGUUAGGAGUUGACAAACCUGUACACUUUCCUGCAAACAACUGUGUUUGACAUAGAUGCUGUAACCACAGAAGUAAAUCCAAGAGUGUCUGAGCUGAGGGCCAAAAUGCUACAGUGAGCAAGAUUAUAUGCUUUAUGUGUAAAAGGUGGCAUGCCAAUGCACAUAUUAGACACUUUAAAUUAGGAAAGGGUCUCAAGUUAAAAUGUGCUCAUAGAGGUUGUUCUCACGUUUAUCAAAGUUUUUCUGGAUUACGAAAGCAUCUAAUCAAGUGUUGUGCAAAUGACAAUUUAUGUUUUGAUGAUGGUGAAUGUUCCACAACCAACAAUUCCAUUUCAUUAGGGGAUACAGAUGUUUUGCCCACUCAGAGUUUGCCAUGUGACACUGUACUGUUCAGUUGUGCAACAAUGCUCGCAAAACUUAAAGUUGCUGGGGUUGCAGAGGCAACUAUUAACUAUGUUGUAAGCGCCGUACAAGAAGUGCUCAGAGACAUACAUAGUCACACUCAAGAAGCUCUAAAAAAUAUGAGUGUGUUGAGAAGGUGAUUAAUCCUUUUGUUACAUUAAACAAUGAGAGCAAGAGAAUGGUCUAUUUUUCUGAGAAAUGGAGGAAGAUAGAUCCAGUUGAACUUGUUCUUGGAACAAGAUUUGCUACACGACUUAACAGAACAACUAGAACUUUUCUACAAACCACUGUCAAAGAUAAAUGUAUAUACAUACCAAUUCUUGAAACGCUGAAGUCCAUUUACAAUCACCCAAAUAUCAAGAUAUGUUGAUUAGAGAUCCUAAACAAAGUCAUCAUUUACUAUAUGACAUACAGGAUGGAGAAUUCUUUAAGGAUCAUCCGCUCUUCUCAAAACAAGAGCAUGCUAUACAGAUCCACCUUGUUUUUGACGAAUUUGAGUGUUGUAACCCCCUUGGAUCGAAAAGAGGAAUCCAUAAUUCAUGAGCCUUCAAUUUUACCUUCAGAAAUGUUUCACCUAAAUACAAUUCAAGUUUGCUAGAUAUCCAUUUGGCUGCUUUGUUUCAUGCAUAAGAUAUUAAAACAUAUGGGUUUGAGAAAAUACUAGCGCCACUUGUCCAAGAUGUCUCAGCUCUUGAAACAAAUGGAAUUCAGAUUCCUCUAUUUGAUCAUACCGUUUAUGGAACAAUAAUACAAGUUACUGGAGACAACCUUGGUAUUCAUUCUUUAUUUGGUUUUGUGGGAUCCUUUAGUGCUAGAUACUGUUGCCGCUUUUGCCUAUUAGAGAAGUAGGACUAUCAGACUGAAUUCACUGAAGAUAGUUCAAAGAUGUCAUUUCGAAGUAAAGAGCUUCAUGUUGAAUACUGCCAGACAAUGCAGAGCAAUCCCACUUUACCUUAUGUGAUGGGAGUAAAAAAAUAUUGACCUUUGAAUUCAUUGCAAUAUUUUCACACAACAGCAAACUU